This 81-nucleotide transfer RNA is filed under the name Impatiens morsei. RNAcentral describes it as "tRNA-Leu". It matches the Rfam family "tRNA". Rfam says of the family: Transfer RNA (tRNA) molecules are approximately 80 nucleotides in length. Their secondary structure includes four short double-helical elements and three loops (D, anti-codon, and T loops). Further hydrogen bonds mediate the characteristic L-shaped molecular structure. tRNAs have two regions of fundamental functional importance: the anti-codon, which is responsible for specific mRNA codon recognition, and the 3' end, to which the tRNAs corresponding amino acid is attached (by aminoacyl-tRNA synthetases). tRNAs cope with the degeneracy of the genetic code in two manners: having more than one tRNA (with a specific anti-codon) for a particular amino acid; and 'wobble' base-pairing, i.e. permitting non-standard base-pairing at the 3rd anti-codon position. Lineage: Eukaryota; Viridiplantae; Streptophyta; Magnoliopsida; Ericales; Balsaminaceae. The record is from RNAcentral.
GCCUUGGUGGUGGAAUGGUAGACACGCGAGACUCAAAAUCUCGUGCUAAAGAGCGCGGAGGUUCGAGUCCUCUUCAAGGCA